RNA transcript from Syngnathus typhle (broad-nosed pipefish), 2267 nucleotides. It is a transcript of the gene named coagulation factor II (thrombin) receptor-like 1, tandem duplicate 2, with no coding region annotated. The record is from RefSeq and is a predicted model, not a curated record. NCBI's taxonomy places the organism in Eukaryota, Metazoa, Chordata, Actinopteri, Syngnathiformes, Syngnathidae. The transcript has 3 exons.
GGGGCGUGGCCAGCGAGUGUCGGAGGACGAGUUGGCCGAGGGUAAAGUUAAAGGACGCGGUAUCUGGGCGCGGAAGCAAUACUCAGACAAAAGCAGAACAUAACGAGGAUCAAGCUUGGGGACAGGACACUUAAAAAGAAAAGAAAAAGAUGAACCGUGCUCACUUUUGGACGUUUUCCUUGACCAUCUUGUGUCACGUUAUGGCCGCGGAUAGCGCAGGAAAGGGUCGCGGUUUCAUCGGUUUCAUUGACCCACAGUCCUCGGACCUGGUGGUGGUUGACCGCGCCACCUCCGAGACCUUACAGAGCGGCCUCACCACUGUCUUCCUGCCGAUCAUCUACAUCGUGGUGUUCGUGGUGGGCCUGCCUACCAACGCCAUGGCCAUCUGGGUCUUCCUGUUCCGCACCAAGAAGAAGCACCCGUCGUCCAUCUACAUGGCCAACCUGGCUCUGGCCGACCUGCUUUUUGUCAUCUGGACACCUCUCAAGAUCGCCUACCACCUGGCCGGCAACGACUGGACGUACGGCGAGGGACUCUGCAAGGUCCUGGUGGGCUUCUUCUACGGGAACAUGUACUGUUCCAUCCUAUUCAUCGCCUGCCUCAGUGUGCAGCGCUACUGGGUAGUAGCACAUCCGCUUUCCCAACAGCGCAAGAACAAUAAGGUGGCGCUGGGCGUGUGCAUCGCCAUCUGGGUUUUCAUCUGGCUCACCACCACGCCACUCUACCUUUACCAGCACACGGCCCAGUUGCGCGAGCCCGCCAUCACCACUUGUCACGACGUCAACAUCAUCCUGGAUCCCUUGGACCCCUUCGCAUCGGUCCGCCUGCCUUAUUUUUACUUUGUACUGAUGGGCAUGGUGGUGUUCUUGGUGCCUUGUGUCGUUAUCGUGGUGGCCUACGUUCUGCUUCUGCGGGCGCUGGGCCGCGGAAGGAAGGACGGCGCGGCGGCCAAGAACCGGCGGCGGGCGGUGGUGUUGAUCAUGGUGGUGCUGGUCAUCUUCCUGGUGUGCUUCGUCCCCAGUAAUAUCAUGCUGGUGCUGCACUAUUCGCUGCUCAAGGACGGCGCGACGGACAAUGGCUACGCCUUCUACGUCACCACGCUGUGCCUGGCUAGCCUCAACAGCAUUCUGGACCCGUUCAUCUACUACUUUGUGUCCGACGACUUCCGCCAGCACGUCAAAAACACGCUGCUGUGCCGCAGCAGCCGGACGGUGGAGCGCAUGCGAGUGUCCUUCAGUUCCAUGAAGUACUCCAAAAGGAGCAAGUCGUUUGUGUCAGACUCAGGGAAUACGCAGAGCAGCUCGUGCUAGCAGGGGGACCGGCCAAAGAUGGACUUAAUCUGCUUUAGGUUGUCGUCCGCCCAGGCUGGAAUUCGCAGAAUGCGGCUUUCUCCAUGGCUGGCCCAGUCUUGUCCUUCCCAGAUAAGAAACUGUUCAUCAGGGAAAAGUGACCUCAAGCAACCCGCAGAUGACGUUCCAUUGAGCGGUAAGCUGAAUCUAUGUCAGCCCCUGUGGACAAAAAUCCCCCCCCCCUGCUCCCAACCUCGGGGUCUGUAAUUAAAGGCUACCUGGGUCAGGCGAGCCAGCUUCAGGUAAAUGAUUAUUAACAAGUGUCCUGUUACCUUUUGUUGUUUGUUACUGUUUUGUUUGCUAGUCACGUUAAACCUGUGCAAGCAGACAAAAGGUCUUUCUGAAUCCCAAGGACAGAAGACAAUUGCAUGCAUUUGUUCAUCUCAAAAAACACUUAUCUGCAGCUCGUACUUUGCAGUCUGCAGCCAACAGACCAGCCUGUGUGUAAUGUAGCCCCCCCCCCCCAUUUCUUGUAUCUUAGAGACUGAACCAGUAACUGAAUUAUAAGUUAAGGUUGUGUACUGUCUCCACUAUCAAUUUGAAAUUAUCCCCUGUAUUUGUACAAUAAAAUGAUAGACAUUUGGAAAGAAUGAUUUUAAUUGGAUUCAUCAAUUGCUAAAUUCAUUGAUAUUACAAUAAUCGCUAAUGAGCAUCUCUAAAGUUGGAAAAUAUGCAGCUCAUUCAUAUAUAAGCAGUAGGACUGGGUUUUAAAAACGAUCAAUACAUUUGAAUCGAUUUUCCCUUUCAUAACCCGAUGUCGAGUCAUAAAACCAUAAAUCGAACGUAUAUGUGCCAUUUAGAGGUAAUUCUUCAUUCCGCCACAGGGUAGCCGUAUAACUACGGUAAUACCCGGUAAAGAAGACAGUCUGGUGAGCAGGUAUUCUUCCUGAAAAUGAAAAUAAAACAAUUAUUAACCGA